AUUGAACGCUGGCGGCAUGCCUUACACAUGCAAGUCGAACGGCAGCACGGGAGCAAUCCUGGUGGCGAGUGGCGAACGGGUGAGUAAUAUAUCGGAACGUGCCCAGUCGUGGGGGAUAACGUAGCGAAAGCUACGCUAAUACCGCAUACUAUCUAUGGAUGAAAGCGGGGGAUCGCAAGACCUCGCGCGAUUGGAGCGGCCGAUAUCAGAUUAGGUAGUUGGUGAGGUAAAGGCUCACCAAGCCGACGAUCUGUAGCUGGUCUGAGAGGACGACCAGCCACACUGGGACUGAGACACGGCCCAGACUCCUACGGGAGGCAGCAGUGGGGAAUUUUGGACAAUGGGCGCAAGCCUGAUCCAGCAAUGCCGCGUGCAGGAUGAAGGCC
Molecule: ribosomal RNA, 386 nt
Filed under: uncultured bacterium
Lineage: Bacteria
Description: bacterial SSU rRNA
Rfam family: Bacterial small subunit ribosomal RNA
Source: RNAcentral